GAGGCGUCCCUGGGCCCGCGGGAGAGUUGUGUCACGGGGCACUGAGCUGUUCCCUGCGCUAAGUGCUGGUAAUGAUGUAUACCUGGCAGCUGACCGUCAAAUCUUAUGAAGGAUUAAAACAUAAAGUUUGCAUUAAAGGUCAAAACAGUCACAAGCCUGCUCAAAUUCGGAAAGAGGGGACGGAAAUGGAACCUCUUCAUGGGAGGAAGAAACAGGGUCUUGCUCUGUUGCCCUGGCUGGAGUGCAAUGGUAUGAUCAUAGCUCACAGUAGCCUUGAACUCCUGGGCCCAAGCCAUCCUCCUACCUCAGCAACCAGAGUAGCUGGGAUUACAGGCGAAUGCCACCACACCUGGAAUUGGAAAAAUGAAUGUAAUUUGACAUAUGUCUUGAGUCUGGUUGGCUUCUGAGGAACUUGUGUGCAUCUCAUCAGUAUGCAUCUUAAGAACUGAAAUGACCCUACUUCAGCAUUGUGAGAAGACAUGCAUUCUCUUCGUAUAAAUAAUGUGGAUCUUACAUGUAAAGUAUUAUAAAGAUUAGCUGUUUAAC
This 546-nucleotide long non-coding RNA is filed under the name Homo sapiens (human). Its description in RNAcentral is "AGA divergent transcript". Lineage: Eukaryota; Metazoa; Chordata; Mammalia; Primates; Hominidae. The record is from RNAcentral.